CUAGCAUAUCAAUAAGCGGAGGAAAAGAAACCAACCGGGAUUGCCCUAGUAACGGCGAGUGAAGCGGCAAGAGCUCAAAUUUGAAAGCUGGCUCCUUCGGGGUCCGCAUUGUAAUUUGCAGAGGAUGCUUCGGGAGCGGUCCCCAUCUAAGUGCCCUGGAACGGGCCGUCAUAGAGGGUGAGAAUCCCGUAUGGGAUGGGGUGCCCGCGCCCGUGUGAAGCUCCUUCGACGAGUCGAGUUGUUUGGGAAUGCAGCUCUAAUUGGGUGGUAAAUUUCAUCUAAAGCUAAAUAUUGGCCGGAGACCGAUAGCGCACAAGUAGAGUGAUCGAAAGAUGAAAAGCACUUUGAAAAGAGAGUUAAACAGCACGUGAAAUUGUUGAAAGGGAAGCGCUUGCGAUCAGACUCGCUCGCGGGGUUCAGCCGGCCUUCGGGCCGGUGUACUUCCCCGCGGGCGGGCCAGCGUCGGUUUGGGCGGCCGGUCAAAGGCCCCUGGAAUGUAACGCCUCUCGGGGCGUCUUAUAGCCAGGGGUGCCAUGCGGCCUGCCCGGACCGAGGAACGCGCUUCGGCUCGGACGCUGGCAUAAUGGUCGUAAGCGACCCGUCUUGAAACACGGACCAAGGAGUCUAACAUCUACGCGAGUGUUCGGGUGUCAAACCCGUGCGCGCAGUGAAAGCGAACGGAGGUGGGAACCCCUCGGGGUGCACCAUCGACCGAUCCUGAUGUCUUCGGAUGGAUUUGAGUAAGAGCGUAGCUGUUGGGACCCGAAAGAUGGUGAACUAUGCCUGAAUAGGGCGAAGCCAGAGGAAACUCUGGUGGAGGCUCGCAGCGGUUCUGACGUGCAAAUCGAUCGUCAAAUUUGGGUAUAGGGGCGAAAGACUAAUCGAACCAUCUAGUAGCUGGUUCCUGCCGA
This 911-nucleotide ribosomal RNA is filed under the name Penicillium nothofagi. Its description in RNAcentral is "LSU rRNA". It matches the Rfam family "Eukaryotic large subunit ribosomal RNA", at positions 34 to 964 of the family's 3401-position model. The record is from RNAcentral. Lineage: Eukaryota; Fungi; Ascomycota; Eurotiomycetes; Eurotiales; Aspergillaceae.